Molecule: small RNA, 27 nt
Filed under: Bombyx mori (domestic silkworm)
Lineage: Eukaryota; Metazoa; Arthropoda; Insecta; Lepidoptera; Bombycidae
Description: ovarian small RNA-20461
Source: RNAcentral
UACAUUAUGAUCUGUGUGUUCCGUGGA